UACGAAGGGGGCUAGCGUUGUUCGGAAUUACUGGGCGUAAAGCGCACGUAGGCGGUUUUCCAAGUUGGAGGUGAAAUCCCUGGGCUUAACCCAGGAACUGCCCCCAAAACUGGAUGACUCGAGUCCGAGAGAGGUGAGUGGAAUUUCCAGUGUAGAGGUGAAAUUCGUAGAUAUUGGAAAGAACACCAGUGGCGAAGGCGGCUCACUGGCUCGGUACUGACGCUGAGGUGCGACAGCGUGGGGAGCAAACAGGAUUAGAUACCCUGGUAGUCCACGCCGUAAACGAUGGGUGCUAGUUGUCAGGCAGCUUGCUGUUUGGUGACGCAGCUAACGCAUUAAGCACCCCGCCUGGGGAGUACGGUCGCAAGAUUAAA
RNAcentral lists this ribosomal RNA (374 nucleotides) under uncultured bacterium. RNAcentral describes it as "bacterial SSU rRNA". It matches the Rfam family "Bacterial small subunit ribosomal RNA", at positions 524 to 898 of the family's 1533-position model. The record is from RNAcentral.